UGAUCUCCCACUAAGACCUAACACUGC
Molecule: non-coding RNA, 27 nt
Filed under: Rattus norvegicus (Norway rat)
Lineage: Eukaryota; Metazoa; Chordata; Mammalia; Rodentia; Muridae
Source: RNAcentral